This 497-nucleotide ribosomal RNA is filed under the name uncultured bacterium. RNAcentral's name for it is "partial 16S ribosomal RNA". It matches the Rfam family "Bacterial small subunit ribosomal RNA", at positions 28 to 507 of the family's 1533-position model. The record is from RNAcentral.
GAUGAACGCUGGCGGCGUGCCUAGUACAUGCAAGUCGAGCGAACAGACGAGGAGCUUGCUCCUCUGACGUUAGCGGCGGACGGGUGAGUAACACGUGGAUAACCUACCUAUAAGACUGGGAUAACUUCGGGAAACCGGAGCUAAUACCGGAUAAUAUAUUGAACCGCAUGGUUCAAUAGUGAAAGACGGUUUUGCUGUCACUUAUAGAUGGAUCCGCGCCGCAUUAGCUAGUUGGUAAGGUAACGGCUUACCAAGGCAACGAUGCGUAGCCGACCUGAGAGGGUGAUCGGCCACACUGGAACUGAGACACGGUCCAGACUCCUACGGGAGGCAGCAGUAGGGAAUCUUCCGCAAUGGGCGAAAGCCUGACGGAGCAACGCCGCGUGAGUGAUGAAGGUCUUCGGAUCGUAAAACUCUGUUAUUAGGGAAGAACAAAUGUGUAAGUAACUAUGCACGUCUUGACGGUACCUAAUCAGAAAGCCACGGCUAACUACGUG